This 1465-nucleotide ribosomal RNA is filed under the name Lacticaseibacillus casei. Its description in RNAcentral is "bacterial SSU rRNA". It matches the Rfam family "Bacterial small subunit ribosomal RNA". RNAcentral also lists the same sequence under 1 other name. Lineage: Bacteria; Bacillati; Bacillota; Bacilli; Lactobacillales; Lactobacillaceae. The record is from RNAcentral.
ACUUAAAACGAGUGGCGGACGGGUGAGUAACACGUGGGUAACCUGCCCUUAAGUGGGGGAUAACAUUUGGAAACAGAUGCUAAUACCGCAUAAAUCCAAGAACCGCAUGGUUCUUGGCUGAAAGAUGGCGCAAGCUAUCGCUUUUGGAUGGACCCGCGGCGUAUUAGCUAGUUGGUGAGGUAACGGCUCACCAAGGCGAUGAUACGUAGCCGAACUGAGAGGUUGAUCGGCCACAUUGGGACUGAGACACGGCCCAAACUCCUACGGGAGGCAGCAGUAGGGAAUCUUCCACAAUGGACGCAAGUCUGAUGGAGCAACGCCGCGUGAGUGAAGAAGGCUUUCGGGUCGUAAAACUCUGUUGUUGGAGAAGAAUGGUCGGCAGAGUAACUGUUGUCGGCGUGACGGUAUCCAACCAGAAAGCCACGGCUAACUACGUGCCAGCAGCCGCGGUAAUACGUAGGUGGCAAGCGUUAUCCGGAUUUAUUGGGCGUAAAGCGAGCGCAGGCGGUUUUUUAAGUCUGAUGUGAAAGCCCUCGGCUUAACCGAGGAAGCGCAUCGGAAACUGGGAAACUUGAGUGCAGAAGAGGACAGUGGAACUCCAUGUGUAGCGGUGAAAUGCGUAGAUAUAUGGAAGAACACCAGUGGCGAAGGCGGCUGUCUGGUCUGUAACUGACGCUGAGGCUCGAAAGCAUGGGUAGCGAACAGGAUUAGAUACCCUGGUAGUCCAUGCCGUAAACGAUGAAUGCUAGGUGUUGGAGGGUUUCCGCCCUUCAGUGCCGCAGCUAACGCAUUAAGCAUUCCGCCUGGGGAGUACGACCGCAAGGUUGAAACUCAAAGGAAUUGACGGGGGCCCGCACAAGCGGUGGAGCAUGUGGUUUAAUUCGAAGCAACGCGAAGAACCUUACCAGGUCUUGACAUCUUUUGAUCACCUGAGAGAUCAGGUUUCCCCUUCGGGGGCAAAAUGACAGGUGGUGCAUGGUUGUCGUCAGCUCGUGUCGUGAGAUGUUGGGUUAAGUCCCGCAACGAGCGCAACCCUUAUGACUAGUUGCCAGCAUUGAGUUGGGCACUCUAGUAAGACUGCCGGUGACAAACCGGAGGAAGGUGGGGAUGACGUCAAAUCAUCAUGCCCCUUAUGACCUGGGCUACACACGUGCUACAAUGGAUGGUACAACGAGUUGCGAGACCGCGAGGUCAAGCUAAUCUCUUAAAGCCAUUCUCAGUUCGGACUGUAGGCUGCAACUCGCCUACACGAAGUCGGAAUCGCUAGUAAUCGCGGAUCAGCACGCCGCGGUGAAUACGUUCCCGGGCCUUGUACACACCGCCCGUCACACCAUGAGAGUUUGUAACACCCGAAGCCGGUGGCGUAACCCUUUUAGGGAGCGAGCCGUCUAAGGUGGGACAAAUGAUUAGGGUGAAGUCGUAACAAGGUAGCCGUAGGAGAACCUGCGGCUGGAUCACCUCCUUU